CCACUAAUCCACAGAAUAUUAUAUUGCAUAGCAUUUAAUUGGAACAAUCAUAUUCAUUGCAAUUCAGAAUAAACAGCAUAACAGAGCUUAGAUUUUUGUUUUUGUUUUUGUUUAAUUGCAGCCUCCUAUAAUACUUCUUAAUUGUAGGACCAGUUUCAGAAAAGAUAAUUCAUAAACUGAACCCAAAAUAUAGCAUUUCCUAGCAAGGAAUCAUAGCAUGAAAGAAGUUCAGAGUGAACAAGGAGAGCUAAGUACUAGUCUAGAAGUCAAUGCUGUCAUUGUUCAACCAGCAGCUGCUUCCAAUUCUGGAGUAGCUUCCACUUCAAAACAGUAACAAGGGAAUCCCUCAUACCCCAGGCUCCAUUUCUUGUUAUCAUGGCUGUGCAACUGAGUAUAUUGGGCUUAAGGGAAAUGACAGUUAAUACUUAUUUCUGAGUUUCACACUAACAUGAUUAUGGUUAGUAUCACCUUAUUGUAUUCGUAUCAAUAUUUUCUUGGGCCAGGACAGCAGUUUCAGCUUAUAAUUAUCUGUUGUCUUAUGACUAGUAUUACUUUCGAAAUAAUAAUAAAAAAGCAAAAACACAUGCUGUGUGUGAACUGCAAUUGACACUCCCACAUCUUUGUCUUUCAGACAAAAAUGUUCAGAUGCCACUGUCAAGGACUUGUUAAAUGGUACAUCUCUGGAACUUGUAGGAACUUGUCUCAAAACACUUAUGUAAUCUUCUUCCUCAAAGAAAGAAUCUGUUUGGAGAGACUCUUGGUUGACCAUCUACCCUCAGACCAAAGAUCUCAUCAUUGGAUCCCCAGUUACCAUAGUGGACAUGGUCUAUCAUGGAGAAGGUACCUGUGCUAAGAUCAAACAAAACCGAAGAAGUCUCAGUCAUCUUAGAAGAAGAAUAGAAGCAACAUGAAACACAGCGAUACAUAAUAGAGUGAGAAAU
RNAcentral lists this long non-coding RNA (941 nucleotides) under Coturnix japonica (Japanese quail). RNAcentral describes it as "lncRNA (ENSCJPG00005018332.1)". The record is from RNAcentral. Lineage: Eukaryota; Metazoa; Chordata; Aves; Galliformes; Phasianidae.